UGGGGAAUUUUGGACAAUGGGGGCAACCCUGAUCCAGCCAUGCCGCGUGUGCGAAGAAGGCCUUCGGGUUGUAAAGCACUUUUGGCAGGAAAGAAACGGCGCCGGCUAAUAUCUGGCGUAACUGACGGUACCUGCAGAAUAAGCACCGGCUAACUACGUGCCAGCAGCCGCGGUAAUACGUAGGGUGCAAGCGUUAAUCGGAAUUACUGGGCGUAAAGCGUGCGCAGGCGGUUCGGAAAGAAAGAUGUGAAAUCCCAGGGCUCAACCUUGGAACUGCAUUUUUAACUCCCGAACUAGAGUGUGUCAGAGGGGGUGGAAUUCCACGUGUAGCAGUGAAAUGCGUAGAUAUGUGGAGGAACACCGAUGGCGAAGGCAGCCCCCUGGGAUAACACUGACGCUCAUGCACGAAAGCGUGGGGAGCAAACAGGAUUAGAUACCCUGGUAGUCCACGCCCUAAACGAUGUCAACUAGCUGUUGGGUUCUUCGGAGCUUGGUAGCGCAGCUAACGCGUGAAGUUGACCGCCUGGGGAGUACGGUCGCAAGAUUAAAACUUAAAUGAAUUG
RNAcentral lists this ribosomal RNA (563 nucleotides) under uncultured bacterium. RNAcentral's name for it is "partial 16S ribosomal RNA". It matches the Rfam family "Bacterial small subunit ribosomal RNA", at positions 355 to 912 of the family's 1533-position model. The record is from RNAcentral.